This 2626-nucleotide unclassified non-coding RNA is filed under the name Sitophilus oryzae (rice weevil). Its description in RNAcentral is "acetylcholinesterase-like, transcript variant X2". The record is from RNAcentral. Lineage: Eukaryota; Metazoa; Arthropoda; Insecta; Coleoptera; Curculionidae.
CUUUAGAAUUUGAAUUUGAUUAUAAAGUUUUUGGUUUGCUUUGGUUCGGAAUAUACAAGAUUUUGACGCUUGUAAAAAGGCCCGGCCUAGUCCGGUCACAACAACCAACUAUUAGGAAUCAUGUGGUGGAGCCGCUGGCCCCUCGUGGGGCUUCUGCUCGCCAUUUUGGCCCCCGCGUCGCCAUCUCCCCGCAGAGGUAGACACAGAACCGUCCCCGAUGGCCCCAGGGCUGAGCCCCUCGUGGCUCAGCAAGUGCCCCCGCAGCGGAGGGAUCCCUUCGAUCCUCACAAGGAUUCAGAAGAAUUCCGAAGAGACGCACCUGACGAUAAAAGAGAUUUUGCAAAUAGAUUAACAGGCGAUGAGGAUCCUUUAAUCAUUAGAACGACGAAGGGCAAAGUGAGAGGCACUACUGUUACAGCAGCCACAGGGAAGAAGGUGGAUGCAUGGCUAGGUAUUCCUUAUGCCCAAAAACCAGUAGGAUCGUUAAGGUUUAGGCAUCCUCGACCGUUUGAAAAAUGGGAAGGUAUAUUGAAUACUACGAAGCAUCCGAAUUCUUGUGUUCAAAUUAUAGAUACACUUUACGGUGAUUUUCCAGGAGCUACAAUGUGGAAUCCAAAUACCCCACUGAGCGAAGACUGUCUGUAUAUAAACGUAGUGGUUCCAAGACCGAGGCCUACCAAUGCGGCAGUUAUGGUUUGGGUUUUUGGCGGUGGGUUCUAUUCGGGAACCAAUACGUUGGACGUAUACGACCACAAUAUCUUGGUGUCCGAAGAGAACAUCAUUCUUAUAUCGAUGCAGUACCGGGUCGCCUCGCUAGGCUUUAUCUAUUUUGGUACGGCCGAUGCCCCUGGCAACGCAGGACUGUUCGACCAGCUGAUGGCCUUGCAAUGGAUCAGAGACAACGUGGCAGCGUUUGGGGGGAAUCCCCAGAACGUAACACUGUUUGGAGAAAGUGCCGGAGCCGUCUCCGUGUCGUUGCAUCUGCUGAGUCCUCUAUCUAGGAAUUUGUUUUCACAGGCUAUAAUGGAAUCUGGAAGUGCAACAGCACCUUGGGCUGUCAUAUCUAGGGAGGAAAGCAUUUUACGCGGACUGAGAUUAGCAGAAGCCGUCAAAUGUCCUCACGACAAAAGUAAUUUGGCUGCCGUGGUCGACUGUUUGAAGAAGAAAGAUCCUGUAGAUUUAGUGAACAACGAAUGGGGCACAUUAGGUAUAUGCGAGUUUCCUUUUGUACCAAUCAUAGAUGGCGCUUUCUUGGAUGAAUCGCCUGGUCGUGCAAUGGCCAAUAAGAAUUUCAAAAAAACGAAUAUCCUGAUGGGCUCCAACACCGAGGAAGGGUACUACUUUAUCAUGUAUUAUUUAACGGAAUUGUUCAAGAAGGAAGAAAACGUAUACAUUAGCAGACAGGAGUAUUUAAGAGCCGUCACUGAACUGAACCCCUACGUUGGCCCUGCUGCUCGACAGGCCAUAGUCUUCGAGUACACGGAUUGGCUGAACCCAGAUGAUCCUGUGGCCAAUAGGGAUGCCUUAGAUAAAAUGGUAGGGGACUACCAAUUCACGUGUAAUGUGAACGAGUUUGCUCAUCGAUACGCAGAGACGGGAAACAAUGUUUACAUGUACUACUAUAAACAUCGAACGAUUGCUAAUCCUUGGCCAUCAUGGACAGGCGUUAUGCACGGUGAAGAAAUAGCCUACGUGUUUGGAGAGCCACUGAAUCCAGCUAAGUCCUAUACAGCACAAGAAGUGGACUUGUCCAAAAGAAUUAUGCGAUAUUGGGCUAACUUUGCUAAAACAGGUAAUCCUUCUCUGGCGCCUAAUGGUGUGUGGACGGCCACAUUUUGGCCUUUACACACUGCCUACGGUAGAGAGUACCUAACUCUAGAUGUCAAUAGUACUGCAACCGGUCGUGGACCACGGUUAAAGCAGUGCGCUUUUUGGAAGAAAUAUUUGCCACAACUGCAACAGCUUACAGUAGAACUUCAGCAGAAACCAGCUGCAGAAAAUUGUACUAGCGGUGCUAGUCAAACGUACGCAUAUCAGCACAAUAUCUUAGGAGUAACUACGUAUCUAGUACCAUUACUUUUCAGUUGGUUCAGUUGGGUGGUAGCGUAGAGAACAAUAGACAAAAGACCAAUUGGAACAUUCUAAUAGCGCAAAGAAGAGAAAUACAAAAAAGGGCAUGCGUAGAGCAGUGGAUUUUAGAAAAAUUUUCGCUUUUUGCUGUUUAGAAGAUCCUCCCGGCUCAAUAUAUUAUAUCGAAACCUUAUCGAAAGUAAAAGUUACAUAUCAUUAAAUUAGUUAAUAUAAGUAGGCUAGAUUCAAAAGAUAUGUUAUAUUUUAAAUAAUAAUAUAAAGAAUUAUUAAAUAAUAUCCAUAUUUUCAUAAGUUUACUACCGCCUAAGUGUAUACAGUUAUACAGCGUGUUUAAAUUUAAUCGGACAAAUUUUGACAGUUCUGGCAUAUUUCGUAUAAAAAAUAUAUUCAAGAUUCAAACAGUGUAUCACACUGUAUGUACAGGGUGGCGCCUCUCAUAGGACGAAGAGGAGACCAACUAGUAGGUUAAUUUAAAGCAUUUCUUAAAAUUAUAUAGAGUUCUGCAGGGUGUCCCUAAUAAAAGUUACGCAUCAAA